Molecule: ribosomal RNA, 253 nt
Filed under: uncultured bacterium
Lineage: Bacteria
Description: partial 16S ribosomal RNA
Rfam family: Bacterial small subunit ribosomal RNA
Source: RNAcentral
UACAGAGGAUGCAAGCGUUAUCCGGAAUGAUUGGGCGUAAAGCGUCUGUAGGUGGCUUUUUAAGUCCGCCGUCAAAUCCCAGGGCUCAACUCUGGACAGGCGGUGGAAACUACCAAGCUGGAGUACGGUAGGGGCAGAGGGAAUUUCCGGUGGAGCGGUGAAAUGCGUAGAGAUCGGAAAGAACACCAACGGCGAAAGCAGCGCCCUGGCCGCCAUCUGACGCUCAGGCACGAAAGCUGGGGGAGCGAACAGG